This 21-nucleotide microRNA is filed under the name Arabidopsis thaliana (thale cress). RNAcentral's name for it is "ath-miR826a". Its record names the gene ath-miR826a. The record is from miRBase by way of RNAcentral. Lineage: Eukaryota; Viridiplantae; Streptophyta; Magnoliopsida; Brassicales; Brassicaceae.
UAGUCCGGUUUUGGAUACGUG